GUGGCAGCCGCCGCGGUAAUACGGAGGGUGCGAGCGUUAAUCGGAAUUACUGGGCGUAAAGCGCAUGCGGGUGGUUUGUUAAGUCAGAUGUGAAAGCCCGGGGCUCAACCUCGGAAUUGCAUUUGAAACUGGCAGGCUAGAGUACUGUAGAGGGGGGUAGAAUUUCAGGUGUAGCGGUGAAAUGCGUAGAGAUCUGAAGGAAUACCGGUGGCGAAGGCGGCCCCCUGGACAGAUACUGACACUCGGAUGCGAAAGAGUCGGGCGCAAACAGGCUUAGAAACCCUUCGUAGUCC
RNAcentral lists this ribosomal RNA (293 nucleotides) under uncultured prokaryote. Its description in RNAcentral is "partial 16S ribosomal RNA". It matches the Rfam family "Bacterial small subunit ribosomal RNA", at positions 505 to 796 of the family's 1533-position model. The record is from RNAcentral.